UACAGAGGGGGCAAGCGUUGUUCGGAAUUACUGGGCGUAAAGGGCGCGUAGGCGGCCUGUUAAGUCGAACGUGAAAUCCCCGGGCUCAACCCGGGAACUGCGUCCGAUACUGGCAGGCUUGAAUCCGGGAGAGGGAUGUGGAAUUCCAGGUGUAGCGGUGAAAUGCGUAGAUAUCUGGAGGAAUACCGGUGGCGAAGGCGGCAUCCUGGACCAUUACUGACGCUGAGGCGCGAAAGCUAGGGGAGCAAACGGG
Molecule: ribosomal RNA, 253 nt
Filed under: uncultured bacterium
Lineage: Bacteria
Description: partial 16S ribosomal RNA
Rfam family: Bacterial small subunit ribosomal RNA
Source: RNAcentral